GACGAACGCUGGCGGCGUGCUUAACACAUGCAAGUCGAACGGAAAGGCCCUGCUUUUGUGGGGUGCUCGAGUGGCGAACGGGUGAGUAACACGUGAGUAACCUGCCCUUGACUUUGGGAUAACUUCAGGAAACUGGGGCUAAUACCGGAUAGGAGCUCCUGCUGCAUGGUGGGGGUUGGAAAGUUUCGGCGGUUGGGGAUGGACUCGCGGCUUAUCAGCUUGUUGGUGGGGUAGUGGCUUACCAAGGCUUUGGCGGGUAGCCGGCCUGAGAGGGUGACCGGCCACAUUGGGACUGAGAGACGGCGCAGACUCCUACGGGAGGCAGCAGUCGGGAAUAUUGCACAGUGGGCGGAAGCCUGAUGCAGCAACGCCGCGUGCGGGAUGACGGCCUUCGGGUUGUAAACCGCUUUCGCCUGUGACGAAGCGUGAGUGACGGUAAUGAGUAAAGAAGCACCGGCUAACUACGUG
Molecule: ribosomal RNA, 468 nt
Filed under: uncultured bacterium
Lineage: Bacteria
Description: partial 16S ribosomal RNA
Rfam family: Bacterial small subunit ribosomal RNA
Source: RNAcentral